AAUGAACGUUGGCGGCGUGGAUUAGGCAUGCAAGUCGAGCGAGAAUUUGCGAUUGGAAGCUUCGGCCGAAGAAAGUGAAGGAAAGCGGCAAACGGCGUAGUAAGGCGUAGGUACGUACCCUCGGGUCGGGAAUAGCCAUGGGAAACUGUGGGUAAUGCCCGAUAAUCUCUGCGGAGCAAAGAUGUGAUUCCGCCGGAGGAGCGGCUUACGUGAUAUUAGCUAGUUGGUGGGGUAAUGGCCUACCAAGGCAACGAUGUCUAGGGGGUGUGAGAGCAUGGCCCCCACGACCGGAACUGAGACACUGUCCGGACACCUACGGGUGGCUGCAGUCGAGAAUCUUCCGCAAUGGGCGAAAGCCUGACGGAGCGACGCCGCGUGGUGGAUGAAGGCCCUUGGGUUGUAAACACCUGUCAGAGGGGAUGAAAUCAUGGUUGGCAAUCCUUCCAUGUUGACAGAGCCUCAGAGGAAGCACGGGCUAAGUACGUGCCAGCAGCCG
RNAcentral lists this ribosomal RNA (496 nucleotides) under uncultured bacterium. Its description in RNAcentral is "bacterial SSU rRNA". It matches the Rfam family "Bacterial small subunit ribosomal RNA", at positions 29 to 517 of the family's 1533-position model. The record is from RNAcentral.